CUCUGCCUACUAGAGGCACCAGCUUCCUGGCUGCCUGCCUGUUAAACUGAGUCUGUGUCUCUUUGUCAUUCAUUCUUGUUUGCUUCCGGGUCAGCGAGAACAAAGUCGUGGGUUUAGGUCCCCCACAUGUGGUGCCUGGUUCACGUAAUCAACACUGAAGUCAAAAUACAGAACUGUUCUCCCAGAAGGCUCUACCUUGCUAUGUCUUCAUAGCCAAUCCACUCGUCUCCCAUUUCUAACCCAUGACAACCAGUAACCUGUUUCCUAUCUCCAUCAUUUCCCUUCAAGUGAUGGACUGUAUCCUGCAGGAGGAAGAGUCUUCAUUCUAAUCACAAAAGCCGCAGUCAGCUUGUCAGAUUACACACCUUGCUUGUAAACAGGAGCAUUUCCUGGGGCAGCCCUCAAAGUCACCAUGUAAUUGAGGAAGCCACAAGAAAUAAUACUGUCCCGGGAAGAAAAUACUGGCAAAGAGAAUGAAAGAAGAGAACAACCCAGAGAAGAGAGCAUCUUACUGUUGCUUAACCUGUAAUGGAACAGCUAGAGUAGGAAGAUAGGGUUGACAGACUCAAGUGAGCAGGGAGCUCUGCCUGGCUGCACCAGUGCCCUCCAUGUCCCUUUGGGUGGCUCCGCCAAUGCCUGCCUGUCUGCUGCUGCUGCCCUUGUGGUACCCUACAUGCCUGUGUCCCUUCAUCUCUGUCCUCAUGGGGCCCAACAGCUUCUACCUCCUGUUGCCUUCCAGUCUUCCAGAGCCCCCCACCCCUGCCCUGAAUUGUGCUACAAGGGACUGUGGGAAAACAAGCCUCAGGCUCGUGGGCUGUCUGCCUUGGGGAGAGCAGAGAAACAUCGCAGAGUGACAGUACCACCAUCAGUACCAAAAUGCGACUUCACUGUCACCUGACUGCUUUCUGGUGUCAUUUUUGUGGCACUGUUAUGAUGUUAGUGCAUUCAUGUACAGAGCUAGGCAUCAUCUGCUGCAGUGGGGAAGGAAGAAUAGGAAAAAGUAUAGGAGUCUUGUUCACCUCUCUCCCCAGCACCUGUCACGGUAUUCCACAGACAACAGACAUUCAAUAAAUAUUGGCGUCUUAGUAUGUGUUUCUCCUGUAGAGAGUUCCUAGUGUCCCUCAGAUGUCUCAGUCUCCAUGCUACUAGAGACUAUAUAAAUGAAUUGUAUGUUCCCUUUGGAGGAUAAUUUGUUAAGCUACAUCAAAGCCUGGAGAAUGUACAUAUUGUAUGGCCAGCAAUUUCUAGGAAUUUAUUAUAAAGGAAUAAUAGAACUAAUAUAUAAAAUGGCAUGUUUACAAUAUAGAAAAAUGUAAAUGUCCUUUCAUAGGAAAUGUGUUUGGUAUAUUUCUAGAAUGGGAUAUUAUGCAGUGAUUAAAAAUGAUGGUGAAUUUGA
Heterocephalus glaber (naked mole-rat) is the source of this 1396-nucleotide non-coding RNA. Lineage: Eukaryota; Metazoa; Chordata; Mammalia; Rodentia; Bathyergidae. The record is from RefSeq and is a predicted model, not a curated record.